GAUGAACGCUGGCGGCGUGCCUAAUACAUGCAAGUCGAGCGAACAGAUGAGGAGCUUGCUCCUCUGACGUUAUCGGCGGACGGGUGAGUAACACGUGGAUAACCUACCUAUAAGACUGGGAUAACUUCGGGAAACCGGAGCUAAUACCGGAUAAUAUAUUGAACCGCAUGGUUCAAUAGUGAAAGACGGUUUUGCUGUCACUUAUAGAUGGAUCCGCGCCGCAUUAGCUAGUUGGUAAGGUAACGGCUUACCAAGGCAACGAUGCGUAGCCGACCUGAGAGGGUGAUCGGCCACACUGGAACUGAGACACGGUCCAGACUCCUACGGGAGGCAGCAGUAGGGAAUCUUCCGCAAUGGGCGAAAGCCUGACGGAGCAACGCCGCGUGAGUGAUGAAGGUCUUCGGAUCGUAAAACUCUGUUAUUGGGGAAGAACAAAUGUGUAAGUAACUAUGCACGUCUUGACGGUACCUAAUCAGAAAGCCACGGCUAACUACGUG
This 497-nucleotide ribosomal RNA is filed under the name uncultured bacterium. RNAcentral's name for it is "partial 16S ribosomal RNA". It matches the Rfam family "Bacterial small subunit ribosomal RNA", at positions 28 to 507 of the family's 1533-position model. The record is from RNAcentral.